AGAGUUUGAUCCUGGCUCAGAACGAACGUUGGCGGCGUGGAUUAGGCAUGCAAGUCGAACGAAUCCCAGCUUUGUAGCAAUACCGAGCUGGGGGAAGUGGCGAAAGGGGCAGUAAUGCAUGGGUAACCUACCCCGGGGAUGUGGAUAGCCCUCCUAACGGAGGGGUAAUACACGGCGAUCUGGCCGAGGGGCAUCCCUUGACCAGGAAAUGAAUCUCGCCUCGGGAGGGGCUCAUGUCGUAUUAGCUUGUUGGUGGGGUAACGGCCCACCAAGGCAAAGAUGCGUAGCGGGUGUGAGAGCACGACCCGCGCCACUGGCACUGAGACACUGGCCAGACUCCUACGGGAGGCUGCAGUCGAGGAUCUUUGGCAAUGGGCGCAAGCCUGACCAAGCGACGCCGCGUGUGCGAUGAAGGCCUUCGGGUUGUAAAGCACUGUCGAGGGGGAGUAAGCCGAAAGGUUGAACUAUCCCUGGAGGAAGCACGGGCUAAGUUCGUGCCAGCAGCCGCGGUAAGACGAACCGUGCGAACGUUGUUCGGAAUCACUGGGCUUAAAGGGCGCGUAGGCGGGUGUGCAAGUCUGUGGUGAAAGCCCCCAGCUUAACCGGGGAAGUGCCAUGGAUACUGCACAUCUUGAGGAGGGUAGGGGCAUCUGGAACGGUCGGUGGAGCGGUGAAAUGCGUUGAUAUCGACCGGAACUCCGGUGGCGAACGCGAGGUGCUGGACCCUUUCUGACGCUGAUGCGCGAAAGCCACGGAGCGAACGGGAUUAGAUACCCCGGUAGUCC
RNAcentral lists this ribosomal RNA (785 nucleotides) under uncultured bacterium. RNAcentral describes it as "bacterial SSU rRNA". It matches the Rfam family "Bacterial small subunit ribosomal RNA", at positions 8 to 796 of the family's 1533-position model. The record is from RNAcentral.